CGAGCCUCGCUCGGGCUACCCGGCAUAUCUGAGGAGUGGGAAUGAGACCCAAAUGGCUGGAGCCAGAGGGCCAAGAGGAGGAGACUGGACGUGAGGAAAUGGUGAUAUUGCAAAGCACAUGAGUCCGGGGACCAGCGAAAGGGGAGCUUGAAAUCUGCUUCUCUCAACACCCUGUUGUGUGCCCCAGAAUCACUUCUGCUUCUAGCCUGGAAGUGGACAAGGAUGGAGAGAGAUUGGAGAUGAGCAAAAUGAAAGCAAAGCAAAGUGUUCCAUCUUCCAGAAGGGUCCCCAGAGUUACGUAGCUUCCCAGUUCUGGGUGGAACCCAGAAACUAUUGCCUCUGAGCAGAGGGCUGGAUGAGUCGAUGCAUGUGAAGCCCUUAACAACAGUGUCGGGCACCAGAAAGAAUCUCAGGGCUCAGCUCGCCACUUCCUGAAUAAAGAGAGAAAAAUGCCCAGAGUGCUGGAUUCAUUGAGAGGUGCAGAGCGAUCAGCAGAAAUCCUGACCGACUGAGGGGCCCAGAGGGCAAAGGAAGAACGUUUCUCCGUUCAGCUACAACCUAAGAUAAGUGCGAGGUCCCCAGUCACCAAAUACUCCCCCGGCCCUCCCAGUGGCCACAGGGAGGCCAGCUGGGAGGAAGGUACAGGCUUCCCUGGCUUGUUGCUAUGGAGUCGGCGUCAUCCAAGACAGUAUUGUCAGUCAGUCCAAUUCAAAGACAGCAGUGGCAGUAAUGGAACUGCAUUGAAAUUACAAAUAUUUACUUGAAAAAAAAAAAGUCCAAAUCAGAUGUAACUGAGAUGAUAAGGUUCUGUUUACUUCUCUAGGUAGUAGCCGGGAAACAGCCAAACCAGUUAGGGUAGGAAAUUUUCUUUUUUUGGUCAGGUAUGUACUGAAUCACUGGCAGCAAACUUCAGGGAUUUUUAAGAGAGAAGAUUUCUUUCUCUCUAGGUUCUCCUGGGCAGAGUGCCUGUAUUCCUUCCCCUCCACACACUUUUUUAAAAGCAAUUCGAGGCCAGCUGAGCUCAUUUUGAUUAUUGCUGUUAGUUUCCUGCCACUUGUCUUUGUAGGCUGGAGUGAGGCCUCAGGAUUUAGAUGAGAAACAUCGGGCUGCUCUCCUCUUCGAGAAACCUUACCUGUGUGGUUUCCUAGCUUGCCUUUUCAUCACUUACUCGGUUGAGGUCUGCCAUAGCUGGCCUAUUAAAGAGAAAUUUGAAAUCAGUGGGUGAAAGGGCUAAGAAAGAGAAAAAUACAGUUGAGCAGUGAGUGUACUUGGCUGGGUACCCUUAUGGGAGACUGAUUUCAUUGGCCUUUGGAACACUGGAGGGGAUUGCAAAACAUGCAGCUAGAACAGAGCGAGAAUGCAGAUAGAAGCGGGGGGCAGAAUGGGGAGACAAAGAGGGGUUUCCCUUUCCUCAGACAGGGGGGAUCAUUCUUACUAAAGUGCGUUUCUUGGGGCAGCUCAGAAGCAGGAGAAAAUGCCAGGCAAUAAGGGCGGUGGCCAUUUGAAUAAUGAAUAUAUAACACGCAGUGAUUUCAAACCUCACAGUUUGUUAUUGGAAGUUUUUCUUCCCAUUUGGAGGGCAGGUUUCCAUCAAUUCUCUUGUCUAAUUCCUGCUUCCUGCUAAGCUGCUGCUGUUUUCAAGAAAACACUUGGGUCAUCGUUUGAGAGCUUCAAAAACCUCAGUGUUCAAUUAGCCUCCUUUUGAAUCCCUUCUGACGGUUGGUUAAAUAUGGGUCCAAAGUCCUUUCUGUGAGUAGGGCUGAUCCUGGGGUGAGGAAACUUAAUUUUCUGAGUGUUAAGAAACAAAAAUAAUGUUUUAACAGCACCAUUACUAGAAAACUUGGAAAUUGCACUCUUCUAGUCUGUUCUGUUCAAUUCCAUUUUAUGGACCUCUGAACAUUUCAUAGUACAAAGGGCUAUUAUAUAAAAAGGACAUUUGGAUAUCCUUCUUAAAGGUUCCCUUGUACUUUCAUAGCAUGUUUACAAGGUUACUAAGUAUGCUUUCUCAUCACUGUAUUUUAAAUGGCUCGACUACUACUCCCACGUUUGAGAAUCAUUGAAACUGCCUGAAUGGAACCGGGAUAUCCUUUGUUCCCCAUUGAUUCGGAAACAAAAGACGCAGGAAAAAAAGUUUAUUUUGCUGCUGAAUGCCAUAUGCAGAUGAACGCAUUGUCGAUUAAAUUAAACCAAGGAUCUGAAGACUUUUUCAAGCCUUAGAAAGAAUGUUCUUAUAGUUAUGGUACAUGUUAGAAUUUGCCCUCCAGUUUUCAUUUAUUCUGUUGUGCUUGUGUCUAACGUGGGGUUAUUUAAGUCACACACCCAAGUCUUCAGGAAUAAUAAAGCGUAAUCAAUAGAGGAGAAUCAGCAUCAAAAAAGACCAAAGUUGCUGUGUUGUUUCUUAGGUGGGAAAAUACCAGCUGGACAUAAGUAGGCAGUGCCCUCCAUUCAUUUCCUCCCUUCUCCAUCUUUUCCAGUUUCUCUAGACCGGAGAUUCUCAUUUUCGGCACUGUUGACAUUUGGACUGGGUCAUUCUGCGUUGCAGGGGGCUGUCCUGUGCGUUGUGGGGUGUCUACCAGCUUCCUGGGCCUAGACCCCAGUUGCUGGCGGCACCCCCCACAGUCAUGACAGGUGGGGACCACAGCAGGAAGUGCAUCCCAGCAUAUACAGCUAGAUGGUUGUUUUUUAAUAGAAGUCUAAUGAAGAAAAUAAUAAUGGACUCCCAGCCUACUGAUCAGAGAAGCCUACUGAUAUUUAAACAGCUAAACAAAAGUACAUGCUUAUAGUUAGAAACUUGAAAUUGCAUAGAAAAGUUACAGAAUAAAAAGUAGAAGACAUUCCCCUAUCUAUCUACAAAAAGAAACACUUGUAACCAAUUUCUCAUGAGUUGUUCCAGAAAAUUUCUCUAUGCCCAUAGGUAUACAUUUACUAGCAAAAUAUACCUUAAAUUGCUUUAAAUGCGCACACACACAUGCAUACACACAUACCAGAAUGGUUUCUUUAACCCUUGCACAGUUUGUACUUAGAUACUUAUUUGCUCAACUAUGUGUUGAACAUCUCUCUUCCAUCCAACUGUACCUGCCUGUCCACCAUUCUAUCCCCGGUGCCUGGCACACAGCAAGCCUCAUUACCUGUUCGUUGAACAAUUGGUUAAACUGGUACACAGUCUUCAACAGCAGGUGCUAUGCUUUUAUUAAUGUACCGUGUCGUGGCCAAAACACGAUCCUUAUGCCAUUGGUGAAGUUCCUUAGGAUUUGUAUCCAAUGAACAUUUAUAAAUUUUUAAAAAUUGUUAGCAUUCUAGGUGUUUUCAAGUGAAUUAGCUCAUGCAGUCCUCAGGCAGAUCUCCUAAAGUGAUUAUUUUCAUUUCUGCUUUUCAAAUGAGAAAGACUCAGAUAUCAAGACCGAACUAUAGAUGAAGAUGUAAUAUUAGGAAAAAGUUCUAGGCCUCCAUGCCCUAUUUCUAUUUCUUGGUAACUUCAUUUUUUUUUCUUUUUACCAAUCUCAGCAGUCAGAAUGCUGUGACCGUUUGAGCUGAGCUUUAAAUACCAAAUAUUUCUAUAUAGUCUCUCGUGUCACAAAGAUACAUUUCAAGUCUCUCUAAUUAGCCCAGCAGAUGAAACAAAGAUCUGAAGACUCACUAAACACUAACAAAACAAACAAGCAAACAGAAAAUUCCUCUAACACAAGAGAAACUUCUUGACAGUGUAAAAAAUGAAUCCACCUGGCUUCUAAGAAGCAGGUCUGAGCAGCUCAGAAUCAAAACACAGGAAGUAAGUUGUAAAUGGCAGAAUGAAUAAAACAACUAUUUUGGGGGUGAAACAGAAGUUGCUCUCUGCACUUUAGAUGUCACCUUUCAAAGUGAGGAGGGAGCACGCGGGGUCAAAAUGUUCACCCACGGGCUCCAUUUUCAAAAAGAAACAGUAUACAACUCGGUAAAUAAGAAAAACAUCGAACUACAUGGCUAAAAAUGGGUGAAUUUUACAGCAUGUAAAUUAUAUCUCAAGGUGUUAAAGAAAAAAAAGGAAGAGCCAAAUUAAGUUAAAAGUUGUUUUAUCUUUGCCAGAGUGUGUGUGUGCGUGUGUGUGU
Molecule: long non-coding RNA, 4085 nt
Organism: Lagenorhynchus albirostris (white-beaked dolphin)
Lineage: Eukaryota; Metazoa; Chordata; Mammalia; Artiodactyla; Delphinidae
Exons: 6
Source: RefSeq, a predicted model, not a curated record